UAAGAGGUCUAGCCUGCCCAGUGACCACAGUUCAACGGCCGCGGUAUCCUAACCGUGCGAAGGUAGCGUAAUCACUUGUUCUUUAAAUGAGGACUAGUAUGAAUGGCAUCACGAGGGUUAUACUGUCUCCUCUUUUUAAUCAGUAAAACUAUUCUCCCCGUGAAGAAACGGGGGUAUUAUUAUAAGACGAGAAGACCCUAUGGAGCUUUAAAUUUUAUUUCAUUUGCUCUUUUUAUAGCCCGCCCCGACUUCUUAUUCUUAGCUGAGCAUACUGAUAAUAAAUUUUAGGUUGGGGUGACCGCGGAGCAUAAAUAAACCUCCACGUAGAACAGGCCUAAACCUUGAAUAAAGAGCCACAACUCUAAAUACUAAUACAUUAACAUCCAUUGACCCAAUAUUUUUGAUCAACGAACCAAGUUACCCUAGGGAUAACAGCGCAAUCUACUUUGAGAGCUCCUAUCGACAAGUAGGUUUACGACCUCGAUGUUGGAUCAGGGUAUCCCAGUGGUGCAGCCGCUACUAAAGGUUCGUUUGUUCAACGAUUUAAACCCU
This 552-nucleotide ribosomal RNA is filed under the name Scinax obtriangulatus (Sao Paulo snouted treefrog). Its description in RNAcentral is "partial large subunit ribosomal RNA". It matches the Rfam family "Bacterial large subunit ribosomal RNA", at positions 1846 to 2597 of the family's 2925-position model. The record is from RNAcentral. Lineage: Eukaryota; Metazoa; Chordata; Amphibia; Anura; Hylidae.